Molecule: RNA transcript, 673 nt
Organism: Rhodamnia argentea
Lineage: Eukaryota; Viridiplantae; Streptophyta; Magnoliopsida; Myrtales; Myrtaceae
Exons: 2
Source: RefSeq, a predicted model, not a curated record
UUGUUCUCUGGUUGAGGAUGAUUUUCGCCAUUUGAAGGAGCAAAGCAGAUACCUGUUCCGACAAGACCCAUCUUCCCGGUUCGGACAUCUAACACGCUGUUGAAUCGCCUCGGAUUCGAUCGAGGCUCUUUCUUCUUGUUGUGCAGAUGACGACGAUGCGAUAAGAGGUUCUUGCGGGGCACAAACGUGGGGAAUAUCUCGCGCCCCGGAUGGGAGAUCCUUCGGAGUUACCGAAGAGAGGGGUUGAUUACAAAGCGUCUGCCUUGGUUUAUAAAAACCGAAAAAAAAGAGUUUGUGGGUUCUGUCGUUUUCUGGUUGGACUGAUGAAGCGUCUCGACUGGUUAAAUUCGAGCAGGAGUUCAGCAUUUCUGGUGUGUGGAAGAACGGCCGCUACUGUUACUGACACUGUGGGUUUAUCUCUUCGCUAUGCCUCUCCAUUUGGCAACAUAUUGCGCACUCUUGGGUGUUGAUAGUGUGCGACGGCAUAAAAAAUGGACACCCGAAAAUCCGUAGAAGAUCAGUUCUCCAAGUUGCAUCCAUGCUUACCAAUGGAUACCAGAAUCGGGAUAGUUGGAGGUGGUCCAAGUGGAUUAUCAGCUGCCUAUGCACUAGCGAAGCUCGGUUAUAGAGACAUCACUGUCAUAGAGAAGCACAAUUCUGUGGGAGGCAUGUG